GGCGCUGUGGCUCAAGUGGUAGAGUGCUAGCCUUGAGCUGAAGGCCCUGGGUUCGAUUCCUCAGCACCA
Molecule: non-coding RNA, 69 nt
Organism: Dipodomys ordii (Ord's kangaroo rat)
Lineage: Eukaryota; Metazoa; Chordata; Mammalia; Rodentia; Heteromyidae
Source: Rfam